CAUCCAAUAUUCAGAAGCCCCUAACACAAAAAAAAAAACGUAGGAGCUUCUAUCUUAACCAAAAUCACAUGGCAGCCCCUAAAUCCUAAAACACAUAAUAUGAAAAUAGAGCACCCUCUACAUACCAAAAACACAUUAGCCACUUUCAUUUAUUCCAUACUUCAUCUACUCUUCAUCACUGUCCACAGGUUACAUUGCCAUUCACUAACUCCUCCUUCUCCACUUCCAGCAACCCGUAAGCCGAACCAGUCGGGUCUGGACACUAGGGACAACCCCUGUCCUGAUGGCCUUCAUGUGUAGGACGUGGCGGUUGUCAAGCUUCUUCUGUUUAGGCUCGCUCACGCUAAUGGAGCCUCAAUAAUCGGCAUUCGCUCCAUGCCGGACUGGUUCACCGCUGGUGGUCUCUAACAGGGCUUGUUAUGGCAGCCGCUCCACCAUGAAUCCUUCACCGGUACACAACCCAAUUCGUCUUCCAACCGUAGCAUCCCCUUGCCCCGCCGGUUCGACCAUGACAACUGACCCGUGGCCAUAAAUCUUCAUGGAAGCCAUGGGGAAGCCACGCGAUAGUGGUAUCCCCUUUUCUAUUUUUUAUUUCAUUUUUGUUUUAUUUUAUUAUUAUUAUUAUUAUUUGUAUAUUUAUUUACUUUUAUUUUUUUAUGUUGAUUGUUUAGUGUUUUGUAUAGACUUAUAAUCCUUAUUGCGUUUUAGGUUGGUGACAUUCCUAUUUGGCACGAGGCAUUUUUUUAUUUUGUAUUUGUUAUUUGGUGCCGAAGUUGUAUCCCUAUGUAAACUCCUUAAAUCAUCAUUAUAAAAAAUAACAAAAAAAGUAUGUAUAUUUUUAUUAUUGAUUCUAUUUUUACUCGAGCAUAAAAAUAGAAUUUAGGUGAGAAUUUGGGAGAUCGGUAAAUGAACCAAACUAUAUAUUCCUUUCCCUUCCAAUAGAAAAGUGGUGAGCGGUUGUCGUAC
This 966-nucleotide long non-coding RNA is filed under the name Lupinus angustifolius (narrow-leaved blue lupine). RNAcentral describes it as "long non-coding RNA (LANG_LNC002123)". The record is from RNAcentral. Lineage: Eukaryota; Viridiplantae; Streptophyta; Magnoliopsida; Fabales; Fabaceae.